UACGUAGGGACCGAGCGUUGUCCGGAAUCAUUGGGCGUAAAGAGCGUGUAGGCGGCCACUUAAGUCCUGCGUGAAAUCUUGCGGCUCAACCGCAAGCGGUCGUGGGAAACUGGGUGGCUAGAGUGCGGGAGAGGAGAGUGGAAUUCCUGGUGUAGCGGUGGAAUGCGCAGAUAUCAGGAGGAACACCGGUGGUGUAGACGGCUUUCUGGACCGUAACUGACGCUGAGACACGAAAGCGUGGGUAGCAAACAGG
RNAcentral lists this ribosomal RNA (253 nucleotides) under uncultured bacterium. RNAcentral's name for it is "partial 16S ribosomal RNA". It matches the Rfam family "Bacterial small subunit ribosomal RNA", at positions 524 to 776 of the family's 1533-position model. The record is from RNAcentral.